This 72-nucleotide transfer RNA is filed under the name Bacteroidota bacterium. RNAcentral's name for it is "Bacteroidetes bacterium tRNA-Thr". It matches the Rfam family "tRNA". From Rfam's summary of the family: Transfer RNA (tRNA) molecules are approximately 80 nucleotides in length. Lineage: Bacteria; Pseudomonadati; Bacteroidota. The record is from RNAcentral. RNAcentral also lists the same sequence under 3 other names.
GCCGGGGUAGCUCAGGGGUAGAGCAGCUGAUUCGUAAUCAGCAGGUCGUGAGUUCAAAUCUCAUCCCCGGCU